CACAUGAAAUAUUUACGGCCCACCUCCCAACCGAUGCCUUCGGCCGGAAUGAAAACAAGCCGCGUCGGACGGUCUCACCGGGGAGCGGCUGUGCCGGUGGCGUGAGGAGUUCGAGUCAGGGGCCGGAUGAGUCGGGGAUGGACAUUUGAGGCAGCUGGUGUUUACCGGCAGAGCGAUAAACUCUCCCGGCGGGUCGCGUGACGACUUCCGAAUUGAUGGUUAAUUUCAAACCGAGCAUUUACUGUCACCCCUUGA
Molecule: long non-coding RNA, 255 nt
Organism: Ornithorhynchus anatinus (platypus)
Lineage: Eukaryota; Metazoa; Chordata; Mammalia; Monotremata; Ornithorhynchidae
Exons: 3
Source: RefSeq, a predicted model, not a curated record